Molecule: long non-coding RNA, 260 nt
Organism: Orcinus orca (killer whale)
Lineage: Eukaryota; Metazoa; Chordata; Mammalia; Artiodactyla; Delphinidae
Exons: 3
Source: RefSeq, a predicted model, not a curated record
AUUUCAGUUAGAAUCAUCAUACCUGAAUCCACUCAUUAUGCUGCUAUGGGCCUGAUGACAUAGAUUUCAUUGCUGAGUGAUACUGCAUUGUACUUAGAAUCAUCAUACCUGAAUCCACUCAUUAUGCUGCUAAGGGCCUGAUGACACAGAUUUCAUUGCUGAGUGAUAUUGCAUUUUAGAAUCAUCAUACCUGAAUCCACUCAUUAUGCUGCUAAGGGCCUGAUGACAUAGAUUUCAUUGCUGAGUGAUAUUGCAUUGUA